UUAAACGGCCGCGGUAUCCUAACCGUGCAAAGGUAGCGUAAUCACUUGUCUUAUAAAUAAAGACCCGUAUGAAUGGCUAAAUGAGUAUUUAACUGUCUCCNUUUAACUAAUCAGUGAAACUGACCCCUCAGUANCAAAAGCUGAGAUAAAAACAUAAGACGAGAAGACCCUGUGGAGCUUUAAAUUUUAACAAAAUAUUUAAACAUAUUUAUGACAGAAAAUUUUUAGUUGGGGCGACUUUGGAGCAAAACUUAACCUCCAAGAAAAGGUGCCACCUAAACUAGGCUAACCGGCCAAACAUCUAGANCCCAGUAUUUAUACUGAUUAAUGAACCGAGUUACCCCAGGGAUAACAGCGCUAUCUUCUUCAAGAGUUCCCAUCGACAAGAAGGUUUACGACCNUCGAUGUUGGAUCAGGACACCCAAAUGGUGCAGCCGCUAUUAAAGGUUCGUUUGUUCAACGAUUAAUGUCCUACGUGAUC
Molecule: ribosomal RNA, 481 nt
Filed under: Anolis leditzigorum
Lineage: Eukaryota; Metazoa; Chordata; Lepidosauria; Squamata; Anolidae
Description: partial 16S ribosomal RNA
Rfam family: Bacterial large subunit ribosomal RNA
Source: RNAcentral